RNAcentral lists this ribosomal RNA (442 nucleotides) under uncultured bacterium. Its description in RNAcentral is "partial 16S ribosomal RNA". It matches the Rfam family "Bacterial small subunit ribosomal RNA", at positions 338 to 795 of the family's 1533-position model. The record is from RNAcentral.
CCUACGGGUGGCAGCAGUGGGGAAUAUUGGGCAAUGGGCGCAAGCCUGACCCAGCAACGCCGCGUGAAGGAAGAAGGCUUUCGGGUUGUAAACUUCUUUUAAGAGGGAAGAGCAGAAGACGGUACCUGAGGAAUACGCCACGGCUAACUACGUGCCAGCAGCCGCGGUAAUACGUAGGUGGCAAGCGUUAUCCGGAUUUAUUGGGUGUAAAGGGCGUGUAGGCGGGAGCGCAAGUCAGAUGUGAAAACUCAGGGCUCAACCCUGAGCCUGCAUUUGAAACUGUGGUUCUUGCGUGCUGGAGAGGCAAUCGGAAGUCCGUGUGUAGCGGUGAAAUGCGUAGAUAUACGGAGGAACACCAGUGGCGAAGGCGGAUUGCUGGACAGUAACUGACGCUGAGGCGCGAAAGCGUGGGGAGCAAACAGGAUUAGAUACCCCUGUAGUC